This is a long non-coding RNA of Diorhabda carinulata, 5883 nucleotides long. RefSeq lists it as uncharacterized. The transcript is spliced from 2 exons. NCBI's taxonomy places the organism in Eukaryota, Metazoa, Arthropoda, Insecta, Coleoptera, Chrysomelidae. The record is from RefSeq and is a predicted model, not a curated record.
UUUCCAUUUUACAAAUUUGCGGAAAUAUCUGAAAUUACAUCUGUUUUUGAUUUCAAAGCAAUUCUAUCUAAAUAUUGAUAAGAAUUUGUCGACGAUUCUCUGAGGACUCGUUUUACUACUUAUUACAUGUUCAAUCAUGAGUGUUGACUUUCGCAUCAAUGUUUUGAUUUCCAAACCAAUUGAACUUGAAUAAUUUUCAUGAAUGGAAGCAAUUUUACUUAAGGCAGUCAUAUGAUAAAAAGAACUAUUGCAAAAGUUGCAGAUAACAGGACUGUCGGUCUGUUGCUAGACCUUUAUAAUACCCAUUUAUCACGGCAGUGAUGAAUCUAUUAUUCACUACUGUCAGAGGCUUUCUUGAUUUAGCUAUAUUGUAUUGUAUUGUUACAAAUAAUCAGUUUUUAUUAUUUUAUCAUAUAUAACACAGUAUGCACAGGAUAUAUAUUGAGAAUUCGUUACAAAAUAAAGGUAAUACAACUAAACAAAUUCUUGUGAAAUUGCACAAAGACUUGUCAUACCACUCGUUCUACCGACGCUCAAGUAAAUUCUGUGACAAAUAUCCAAACUAGCGAAGUAAACUUUCACUCACAAAAACAUACAAGCUUCAAUGUGUCUCCAUUUAGUUUUUAUAAUUGUAAUAUUUCCACUAUAAACAUAUAUAAUUAUAAGUGUAAAAAUGGUGAUUUAGAAAUAAAAGUUGUAACCUGUUUUCUCCACUUUAGAAAAAUAUAGGUCGAAGAAGUGUUGUAACUAACUCUUACAUCUGUAUUAUUAAUCACCUUCAUCAAUGUACUUGUUGGUUAAAUAACUAUUAUCCACGACUUUUGUAUAAUGUCCCUAUUAUAAGUCUGCUUGCUCGAUCUUAGUAAUACCCAUUAAUCACUGCUGUCAGAUGCUUUCUUGAUUUAGCUAGAUUAUAUUGUUUUGUUCCAAAAAAUCGGUUUUUAUAAUUUUAUCGUAUAAAACACUACCAAACUUUUUUUGAAUUUAGUUCUGAACACUUGAAAAAGUAAAUUUUCUUGGACCAGAUUCGAACCCAGUCCAGUUUGAAACCGCGGAGCAUUAACAUUGAGCUGUAAGCCACAUGAAUGUGUUUGUCGUACAUCUGUUUCUUAAACUACCAUGGUUUUUGAAACAAUUUAUAAAUUGAAGGAGGUUUUGAAACAAAAUAAAUUUGACUCUAACCUGUUAACAUUAUUGUGUGUUAAAAUUUCUGUAUUUUAAUAUUUUAUUUUAAAUUAUGUUGAGAAACCAACAAAAAAUGUAAAUAAAAAAUGAAAGUGACUCUUUUUUUAACACCGCCAAAAAUUAGAUAACCUGCUGAAGUUGCUUCAUGAAAUUUAUUAUCGAAAAAGUCAAGGAAAGUAUAUAAUGUGGCAUGUGAAUUUUGCACUGGCAACAGGGACUAUUAAUCUAAUAUAUAAAAUUCUCGUGUCGCGGUGUUUGUGGUUAAACUCCUCCGAAACGGCUUUCCCGAUUCUCAUGAAAUUUUGUGUGCAUAUUGGGUAGGUCUGGGAAUCGGACAUCUAUUUUUCAUCCCCCUAAAUGUUAAGGGUAAUCCACCCCUAAAUUUUUUUAUAUUAUUUUUUAUAAUAUUAAUAACUGAUAAAGACAGUUUUAACUAUUAUUUAAGUAUCUCAUAUAAAUAAACACGUGUUGUGAUCUCCCGCCAACAACGGCCAUUACCGUACCUGUAUAUAUUGUACUUAACGCUUUUUGAAAAUAGUUUUAAUUCAAAACGAAAGCGUGUACGAGUUUAAUAAAUAUACCUUUUUCAUUAUUGUGAAAGGUAAGUCAAAUAAUAAACAAAUGAAUACAAUAUAAUAAUAAUAAUGAUAAUAAUAAUAAUUUAUUACCAGAAAUAAAUAAUAGUUUAAAAAAACUAAAAAAACACGCUUUAAAGAAAAUCCAACUCAAAAAUAGAAAAUAAAUUUUAAUAAAUUUCAGUACAGUCAGCAAUGCCAAAAAGACGUAAAGGGGCCAAUUUGAGUCGUAGUACAACCAAUUCAACAGUCAUUCGAGAUAUACGAGCACGAAGGUCUGGCGAACAAAUCCAACAAAAUAAUACAGAUGUGCCUGCAAGCAUGGCGCAGUUACGUGAAUCACUAUCGCAAGAGACGCGAGAUGAACAAAAUCAACAAAGACAAUUAGAACGAAGAGAAACGCGCAGAUUCAUAGUAAACAGACGUGGAGGCAUUGACCAACAACGCCAACAAGUUCUUCGAGCAUUUACAUCAGAUUCAUUUCUUCGACUAGCAUUCCAAUAUGAGCCUGAUGUUGAAUAUUAUAUUAUAUUAAAUUAUAUUAUAUUGCUCAUUCCAAAGUGGUUAUUGGUUCUUUGGACAAGGAAUGCCCGCAUUGUCAUGCACUUAAAUUUAAAAAUGAGCCAGUUGGGAUGUGUUGCUCAUCAAGAAAAGUACAACUAACCGAAAUUGAAACACCACCUGAACCAUUACACGGUUUACUUAUCGGUACAGGUCCAGAUUCUAGCCUUUUCCUAAAGUCAAUUCGCACAUUCAAUUCAUGUUUUCAAAUGACGUCGUUUGGAGCAACAGAAAUAGUUAACAAUAUUGCUACAAACGGUCAACAAUUUAAUUCCACGUUCAAAAUCAAAGGCAAAAUUUAUCACAAAGUGGGCUCAUUGCUGCCUAUACCAAACGAAUCUCAUAAAUUUUUACAAAUUUACUUUAUGGGUGGCGAAGACUCCGAACGUGCACUCGCCAAUCACGUGGAUGCACGUUGCGAUUAUUACCAUUUCAAUUCACCUUUUGCCAGGCGUAUCGUCGCCGACCUGGACGCUCUGUUAAAUGAGCAUAAUGAAUUAUUGAAAUUAUUCAAAUCACACAUGCACAAACUACAAAGUGACAAUCGUGCUAUUGUCAUCAAUCCUGAUAGAACACCAGCUGGAGAGCAUGUACGUAGAUUCAACGCACCUGUUGUUGACGACGUUGCUGGAAUCAUGGUUGGUGACCGUACAGCUACGCGACAAAUCGUGAUUCGAUGAAGAAAUAAUAAUUUUCAAUUCAUUAGUGAUACCCACCGUUCUUACGACGCUCUCCAAUAUCCACUAAUUUUCUGGAAGGGACAAGACGGAUAUUGCGUAAACAUUAAACAACGAGAUCCCGUAACAGGAGCCGAAACAAAUAAGAACGUUAGCUCGAAGGAUUUUUAUUCAUAUCGUUUGAAGAUUAGAAGUGGCCGAGACAAUAUCAUUUUACGAUGUCGUGAGCUAAGCCAACAAUUUAUGGUUGACAUGUAUGUGAAGAUAGAGAGUGAACGACUACCAUACUUGCGAUAUAAUCAACAGAAGCUGCGUGCGGAAGAAUAUAUUCACCUGCGAGAUGCUAUUGCGAAAAACGCUGACACUGCCGAAAUUGCAACUCUGUUAUCUUACCAUCAUCGUAUUUAGGUAGUCCACGUCACAUGCAAGAGUACAUACAGGAUGCUAUGACUUUCGUGCUUGAAUAGGGGCGACCGUGUAUUUAUUACUUUUACAUGUAAUCCAAAAUGGCAGGAAAUUACAGCAUUACUAUUACCAGGACAAAAUGCAAUACAUCGUCAUGACAUUACAGCACGUGUGUUUAAACAAAAAUUAAAGUCUUUAAUCAGCUUUAUUACGAAGUUGCAUGUAUUUGGUCCCACACGUUGUUGGAUGUAUUCAGUUGAGUGGCAAAAGCGUGGAUUACCUCAUGCUCUCAUUUUAAUUUGGUUUGUCGACAAAAUACGUGCUGAAGACAUCGAUAGUUUAAUUUCUGCAAAUAUUCCAGAUCCAUCUACUGAUCAAUUACUAUUUGAUAUUGUUACUACAAACAUGAUUCAUGGUCCGUGCGGAAUUCUGAAUCGUUCAUCACUUUGCACGAUAGACGGAAAAAAUGUACUAAGCGUUUUCCUAAAGAUUUCAUAAACGAUACGGUAACACAUAUUGACGGAUAUCCAAUAUAUCGUCGAAGCAGUACUGAAAAUGGCGGACAAUCGUUUACUAAAACUCUCAGUAACACAGAGAUCGACAUUGACAAUCGUUGUGGUACCAUAUUCACCUCUGCUCAGCAAAACAUUCAAUGAUCAUAUUAAUGUUGAGUCAUGCAGUUCGGUGAAGAGUAUCAAAUAUAUUUGCAAAUCUGUAUGUUAAUAAACGAAGUGAUAUGGCUGUAUUUGGAAUUGAAAAUACUAAUAUCAAUGCUCCUCUGUUGAAUGAAAAUGAUGAAAUUACGAAUUACCAAAUUGGCCAGUAUAUCAGUUCCAAUGAAGCUGUCUGGCGUAUUUUUGGUUUCCAAAUUCAUGAAAGAGAUCCAGCAGUUAUCCAUUUAGCUGUCCAUCUUGAAAACGGCCAGCGCCACGCUCACUGAAUUUUUUGUUUAUUUAAAUCAAAUAAUUUGGGACGUGUAUAUUCAGUCAAUCCAAGGCAGACUGAGUGUUUUUAUCUGCGACUGCUGUUGGUUAAUGUCACCGGACCAUUGUCAUUUCAAGAUAUACGCAAGGUAGAUGUACAACAGUAUCCAACGUAUAAAGAUGCAUGCCUUGCACUAGGUUUACUAGAAGAUGACAAUCAAUGGGACAGUAUGCUUGCUGAAGCAGCAUUAAACUGCACAGGAACACAAAUUCAUCUACUAUUUGCUAUAGUAUUGACUACAUGUUUCCUACAUGUGGGAUAAUCACAAAGAUUCAAUGACUGAUGACAUUUUGUAUCGAUAUCGUACAAGGUACAACGAUGUAACGAUAUCAUUCACUGAUGCAAUGUACAAUGAAUCAUUGAUUGCUAUCGAGGAUCUUUGCAUUGCUAUUGCGAAUUCACCAAUCAGUCAUUUCGGUAUGAGUUCACCGAAUCGAAGUGCAUCUGAUUUACUCAACACAGAUAUGAAUCGUGAACUGCAUUACAAUACUGGGGAAAUGGCAGGCAUUGUUAAUCGCAAUGUUCCAUUACUAAAUUCCAUUACAAACAAACACACUUCCACGACCAAUUCUUCGAAGCGGAAACUGUUCAUUUAAGUAUUGACGAACUUGUAAAGAAUAAUGUGGUUUCCCGUCGUGCGAAAACCACAUAUUUUUUUCUUAAAGCUAGAGGGAUAUCCUCUACUAAUUCUUGUAAAUGUUCUUGAAGAAAAUCUAAAUAAAGAGGUCCAUUUAAAUUGGUUGGCAGUUCAAAAGGACCUAUUAAAUACCCACAUAUUACACCACACCAAAUGUUAACCUUAAACUCGUGCUGAAAAUGUGUUUCCCUCAUAGCAUGUGGAUUUUCAGAAUCCCACAAAUGAUUAUUUUUAUUAUUAAAUAUUCCUCGACUGGUAAAUGUUGCCUCAUCAGUAAAAAGAAUUGUAUCCAGAAAAUCCGGGUUAACAUUUUUUUUAUCUUGCAAAAAAUGGGCAAAUUGUACACGCUUAGGUAAAUCUUGAGCUAAUAAAUUCUGAACAGGAGUGUAAUGAUAUGGAUGCAAUUUUUCCCUCUUCAGUAUUCUAAAAGUAGAUGAUACUGCUUAUACCUGUUUGCAGACUUAAUCGGCUAGUACUGAUAUCUGGAUUCUCCGUAACACAAAUUAAAAUUUCAUCUUCUUCAUCGGCAGUGAUUUUUUUUGUAGCACCGUGCUCAGUUUUAGAGCGUAAAGACCCCGUUCCACCUAAGCGGUUGUAAAAAUUUUGAUACAGUUUGUAAUUGGGUUGCCUUCGAUUUGGGUAUAAUUGUGAAUAUCUUCGAGCCGCAGCUGGACCACUAUAAUUUGACUGAGCAAACACACAAAUCAUAUUUGAUAAAUAACUAUUACACUUGUUAAUUACUAAAUUGUUAAUAAAUGGUAUAUUAAUGUAUUACUUAUUCUUAUUAUUAUCCAAUUUUUGCUUCUAAACAAACUGUCUAAUAGCGAUACAAGCCUACUUGAAAAAAGAAAACGAAAAA